CCCCUCCUCUCACCAAAAUCUGGAAGUUUCCCAGAGACACUGAUUUGGAUGAGAGCAAGCAAUCUGGGCAGGAUUUUCUCUGGUCUUGCUAGCAGGCCCACUGAUUUGGCAGAUGGAAAGAAGGAAGCUUCAUUGGGCAAUCUCUAAAACACAAGGAAACUUAGAUGAAGAGAAAAUCAAGACCUAUAAAAGAGGAGAGACUGUUCCCAAUGGACAUCAAGGAGAAAAGAGGUACCUCUUGAACCCUUAAGUCACACACAAAAGAACAUCUGGAAGAAAAACUCAAGAUCAACUAGAGAUAUGAUCUUUCAUCUCAACAACAUGUGGUCAAGUAACAGAACUUGGCUUCUUACACUAUACUUCUUGCCCCGAGCUAUCUACCUGUGGUAGCACUCAUCAC
Molecule: long non-coding RNA, 400 nt
Filed under: Sarcophilus harrisii (Tasmanian devil)
Lineage: Eukaryota; Metazoa; Chordata; Mammalia; Dasyuromorphia; Dasyuridae
Description: lncRNA (ENSSHAG00000023444.1)
Source: RNAcentral